GAGGGAACCUGCAGACCCCAGGGGCCAGCCUUUGCCUGAUUCCUGAAUUUGUUAAAGCCAUUUUAUGUAGUGUGGAAGGUGCUUCACUGAAGAGCCUCCUCCUCACCCCAGCAGCCUCCUCCCAGGCAGACCCACCCCUGCCAUCCCCAACCUGAGACCCUUGACCUUUUCACCUUGCACUCUGAGCUACCUGGCACCCCAAAACUCCUCCUGGUAGUGGGGUUGAGCUCUUGUAAGGAGCCUGAGGAAGAAAGACCAGUAUUGGGAGCUCAUGUCCCAGCCCCUCAUGCACAGUUCACCUAGACUAGAGCCAGGAAGUUUAGGGAGUCCCAGUGCAUGGCUAGGGGUGCCCUGAGGGCGCUGUCUGAACCUCAGGCUGUCACAGUUCAUCAAUCAGCCAGCCAUGCACCUGUCAGGUGUGCCUGCCAACAGCCUGCCCCAUCUUUCUCAUCCUCCCAGCCAAGGCAGACCACUCCAGAGGGACCUGCACAGCCCCUUCCUCAAGACCACCACAGGAGGCCUGGGAGUGAGAAGGGUCACGGUGCUGGGUGCCUGGGUUCCUCAGCACCGGCCACUCCCACUUUGCCCUGGUGUGCCCAUCAGGCCCAGAGAAGAAACCCGCUCUGGGCGUCUUACUUUUUACUCUUAUUCAGAAAAACCUUCCUUAGCCUUUUCUUUGUUUCUGACAGCAAAAUCAAAGGAAAUUCAAGAUGAAAUUUUAGGCCAGAGCCUGGCCUAAAAACUGCAAGUGUUCAUAAUUAACAAAAGAAAUCUAAAAAAAGAGAUGAUGUGUUGCCGCUCCCCUGCAGCUGUGGAGGAAGGAGAGCUGUUCUGCAUCCAUAAAAACCAGUUAAAAGGGAUUUCAUAAGGUCUGAAAUUGAGAACUUUCCCAAGAAUACUGCAUCUUGUUCUCUUGUGCAAUAUACAGACGUGUGAAUAUUCCUAACAGUAACCAAAUGGGUGCACUCUCUGUGAAAACGCAUCUUUCAAAGAGUUUUUUAAACAAAGGAGACUCCUGGGCCUUUAGAAAUAAUUGCCACAAACUGCAAAAACAAUCUCCAACCUCCCACUUCUGUAAUUCUCAUCUGUUGUCUUACUAGAAAAUUUAUUUCUCUGGUAAUAAUGUUAUAAUUGAUAUCCCUGUCUUCUCAAGAUGUAAAAUACUUGUAAAAACUUCUCUGUCCAUCAGAAAAUAAUUAUUGGCACUUUUCUUCUCUCUCAUGUGCAUGAUGGAACAAUAAAAAGCUUAUGGCUUUGCUAGAUCUAUUAUUUAACAAA
RNAcentral lists this long non-coding RNA (1278 nucleotides) under Homo sapiens (human). Its description in RNAcentral is "non-protein coding lnc-ATP6V1F-1:4". Lineage: Eukaryota; Metazoa; Chordata; Mammalia; Primates; Hominidae. The record is from RNAcentral.